GCCUUCAUGGUGUAGUGGUCAGCACGCUCGAUGCAUAUUCGAGAGGUCCGUGGUUCGAGUCCCGGCAAGGGCA
Molecule: transfer RNA, 73 nt
Filed under: Stegodyphus mimosarum
Lineage: Eukaryota; Metazoa; Arthropoda; Arachnida; Araneae; Eresidae
Rfam family: tRNA
About the family: Transfer RNA (tRNA) molecules are approximately 80 nucleotides in length.
Source: Rfam by way of RNAcentral